RNAcentral lists this long non-coding RNA (213 nucleotides) under Elaeis guineensis (African oil palm). Its description in RNAcentral is "long non-coding RNA (EGUI_LNC010122)". The record is from RNAcentral. Lineage: Eukaryota; Viridiplantae; Streptophyta; Magnoliopsida; Arecales; Arecaceae.
GGCCAUGUUCUGCCGCAUCCCGGGCCAAUAGACAUAGCGAUGAAGAUUCACCACUAUCUUGUUUACUCCGAAGUGGCCUGCUAUCUUCGAAAUAUUAGCUUCCCGCAUCCACUUCACCCAAUCUACAGCUUUUGAUAGACACAGCUGUGCACCUUUGUAGAGGAGCCCACCUCAUAAGGCAAACUCCGUGGACCUUCUUACCUUGACGUCCUC